AUCUCCACAAUAUGGUAAGAUAUUGUCUGCUUUUGGCCUAGCCUUCACGGGUUUGCUUUUGGCAUCACUCCAAAAGGCCUCUUACCAUUGGAGGUAUCUAUGUGUAUAUAAACUCAUGACUAGCCCUUAUUUUACUCGAUGUGGGACUUUGUUUGCACUCCAACAUCCUCCCUCAAACAAAGGACUACGGUCUUCUUCCUCCCCCAUUGCGGAAGUCUUUUCAUCCCCGAGUACACCAUGGUCACAUGGAGCAUUUCUCUUUUUCCCUCUUUCACGAUCCAUGGUCACACUGAGCAUUUCUCUUGCUUUCCCUGCCUCUCAUGAUUCAUCCGACAAUCCGC
Molecule: long non-coding RNA, 341 nt
Filed under: Vigna radiata
Lineage: Eukaryota; Viridiplantae; Streptophyta; Magnoliopsida; Fabales; Fabaceae
Description: long non-coding RNA (VRAD_LNC018009)
Source: RNAcentral